RNAcentral lists this unclassified non-coding RNA (336 nucleotides) under soil metagenome. RNAcentral describes it as "partial contains 5.8S ribosomal RNA, internal transcribed spacer 2, and large subunit ribosomal RNA". The stretch from base 1 to 120 matches the Rfam family "5.8S ribosomal RNA", at positions 35 to 154 of the family's 154-position model. The record is from RNAcentral.
GAUGAAGAACGUAGCGAAAUGCGAUAAGUAGUGUGAAUUGCAGAAUUCCGUGAAUCAUCGAAUCUUUGAACGCACAUUGCGCCCCUUGGUAUUCCAUGGGGCAUGCCUGUUCGAGCGUCAUUUGUACCUUCAAGCUCUGCUUGGUGUUGGGUGUUUGUCUCGCCUCUGCGUGUAGACUCGCCUCAAAACAAUUGGCAGCCGGCGUAUUGAUUUCGGAGCGCAGUACAUCUCGCGCUUUGCACUCAUAACGACGACGUCCAAAAGUACAUUUUUACACUCUUGACCUCGGAUCAGGUAGGGAUACCCGCUGAACUUAAGCAUAUCAAUAAGCGGAGA